This 171-nucleotide non-coding RNA is filed under the name Clostridium septicum. Lineage: Bacteria; Bacillati; Bacillota; Clostridia; Eubacteriales; Clostridiaceae. The record is from RNAcentral.
UAUAGGUUCUUAGAUAAUUUUAUCUAAAGAUUAAAAGGGAAAGUGGUGAAAAUCUACUGCAGCCCCCGCUACUGUAAAAGCUGACGAAUCUCUAAAUGGAUCCACUGACAUUAUGUUGGGAAGGAAGAGAAGAGGAUGAAGCUUAAGUCAGGAGACCUGCCUAUAGUUAUG